RNAcentral lists this ribosomal RNA (2789 nucleotides) under human gut metagenome. RNAcentral's name for it is "bacterial LSU rRNA". It matches the Rfam family "Bacterial large subunit ribosomal RNA". The record is from RNAcentral.
AGCGUACACGGUGGAUGCCCUGGCAGUCAGAGGCGAUGAAGGACGUGCUAAUCUGCGAUAAGCGUCGGUAAGGUGAUAUGAACCGUUAUAACCGGCGAUUUCCGAAUGGGGAAACCCAGUGUGUUUCGACACACUAUCAUUAACUGAAUCCAUAGGUUAAUGAGGCGAACCGGGGGAACUGAAACAUCUAAGUACCCCGAGGAAAAGAAAUCAACCGAGAUUCCCCCAGUAGCGGCGAGCGAACGGGGAGCAGCCCAGAGCCUGAAUCAGUGUGUGUGUUAGUGGAAGCGUCUGGAAAGGCGCGCGAUACAGGGUGACAGCCCCGUACACAAAAAUGCACAUACUGUGAGCUCGAUGAGUAGGGCGGGACACGUGGUAUCCUGUCUGAAUAUGGGGGGACCAUCCUCCAAGGCUAAAUACUCCUGACUGACCGAUAGUGAACCAGUACCGUGAGGGAAAGGCGAAAAGAACCCCGGCGAGGGGAGUGAAAAAGAACCUGAAACCGUGUACGUACAAGCAGUGGGAGCCUCUUAAUGGGGUGACUGCGUACCUUUUGUAUAAUGGGUCAGCGACUUAUAUUCUGUAGCAAGGUUAACCGAAUAGGGGAGCCGAAGGGAAACCGAGUCUUAACUGGGCGUUAAGUUGCAGGGUAUAGACCCGAAACCCGGUGAUCUAGCCAUGGGCAGGUUGAAGGUUGGGUAACACUAACUGGAGGACCGAACCGACUAAUGUUGAAAAAUUAGCGGAUGACUUGUGGCUGGGGGUGAAAGGCCAAUCAAACCGGGAGAUAGCUGGUUCUCCCCGAAAGCUAUUUAGGUAGCGCCUCGUGAAUUCAUCUCCGGGGGUAGAGCACUGUUUCGGCAAGGGGGUCAUCCCGACUUACCAACCCGAUGCAAACUGCGAAUACCGGAGAAUGUUAUCACGGGAGACACACGGCGGGUGCUAACGUCCGUCGUGAAGAGGGAAACAACCCAGACCGCCAGCUAAGGUCCCAAAGUCAUGGUUAAGUGGGAAACGAUGUGGGAAGGCCCAGACAGCCAGGAUGUUGGCUUAGAAGCAGCCAUCAUUUAAAGAAAGCGUAAUAGCUCACUGGUCGAGUCGGCCUGCGCGGAAGAUGUAACGGGGCUAAACCAUGCACCGAAGCUGCGGCAGCGACACUAUGUGUUGUUGGGUAGGGGAGCGUUCUGUAAGCCUGUGAAGGUGUACUGUGAGGUAUGCUGGAGGUAUCAGAAGUGCGAAUGCUGACAUAAGUAACGAUAAAGCGGGUGAAAAGCCCGCUCGCCGGAAGACCAAGGGUUCCUGUCCAACGUUAAUCGGGGCAGGGUGAGUCGACCCCUAAGGCGAGGCCGAAAGGCGUAGUCGAUGGGAAACAGGUUAAUAUUCCUGUACUUGGUGUUACUGCGAAGGGGGGACGGAGAAGGCUAUGUUGGCCGGGCGACGGUUGUCCCGGUUUAAGCGUGUAGGCUGGUUUUCCAGGCAAAUCCGGAAAAUCAAGGCUGAGGCGUGAUGACGAGGCACUACGGUGCUGAAGCAACAAAUGCCCUGCUUCCAGGAAAAGCCUCUAAGCAUCAGGUAACAUCAAAUCGUACCCCAAACCGACACAGGUGGUCAGGUAGAGAAUACCAAGGCGCUUGAGAGAACUCGGGUGAAGGAACUAGGCAAAAUGGUGCCGUAACUUCGGGAGAAGGCACGCUGAUAUGUAGGUGAAGUCCCUUGCGGAUGGAGCUGAAAUCAGUCGAAGAUACCAGCUGGCUGCAACUGUUUAUUAAAAACACAGCACUGUGCAAACACGAAAGUGGACGUAUACGGUGUGACGCCUGCCCGGUGCCGGAAGGUUAAUUGAUGGGGUUAGCGGUAACGCGAAGCUCUUGAUCGAAGCCCCGGUAAACGGCGGCCGUAACUAUAACGGUCCUAAGGUAGCGAAAUUCCUUGUCGGGUAAGUUCCGACCUGCACGAAUGGCGUAAUGAUGGCCAGGCUGUCUCCACCCGAGACUCAGUGAAAUUGAACUCGCUGUGAAGAUGCAGUGUACCCGCGGCAAGACGGAAAGACCCCGUGAACCUUUACUAUAGCUUGACACUGAACAUUGAGCCUUGAUGUGUAGGAUAGGUGGGAGGCUUUGAAGUGUGGACGCCAGUCUGCAUGGAGCCGGCCUUGAAAUACCACCCUGAUUAAUGUUUGAUGUUCUAACGUUGGCCCCUGAUCGGGGUUGCGGACAGUGUCUGGUGGGUAGUUUGACUGGGGCGGUCUCCUCCUAAAGAGUAACGGAGGAGCACGAAGGUUGGCUAAUCCUGGUCGGACAUCAGGAGGUUAGUGCAAUGGCAUAAGCCAGCUUGACUGCGAGCGUGACGGCGCGAGCAGGUGCGAAAGCAGGUCAUAGUGAUCCGGUGGUUCUGAAUGGAAGGGCCAUCGCUCAACGGAUAAAAGGUACUCCGGGGAUAACAGGCUGAUACCGCCCAAGAGUUCAUAUCGACGGCGGUGUUUGGCACCUCGAUGUCGGCUCAUCACAUCCUGGGGCUGAAGUAGGUCCCAAGGGUAUGGCUGUUCGCCAUUUAAAGUGGUACGCGAGCUGGGUUUAGAACGUCGUGAGACAGUUCGGUCCCUAUCUGCCGUGGGCGCUGGAGAACUGAGGGGGGCUGCUCCUAGUACGAGAGGACCGGAGUGGACGCAUCACUGGUGUUCGGGUUGUCAUGCCAAUGGCACUGCCCGGUAGCUAAAUGCGGAAGAGAUAAGUGCUGAAAGCAUCUAAGCACGAAACUUGCCCCGAGAUGAGUUCUCCCUGACUCCUUGA